UUGCCUGUGAGAGGAUGUCCUGUUGCCUAU
This 30-nucleotide non-coding RNA is filed under the name Rattus norvegicus (Norway rat). Lineage: Eukaryota; Metazoa; Chordata; Mammalia; Rodentia; Muridae. The record is from RNAcentral.